This 301-nucleotide signal recognition particle RNA is filed under the name Microcebus murinus (gray mouse lemur). RNAcentral describes it as "Metazoan signal recognition particle RNA (ENSMICG00000031921.2)". It matches the Rfam family "Metazoan signal recognition particle RNA". From Rfam's summary of the family: The signal recognition particle (SRP) is a universally conserved ribonucleoprotein. It is involved in the co-translational targeting of proteins to membranes. Lineage: Eukaryota; Metazoa; Chordata; Mammalia; Primates; Cheirogaleidae. The record is from RNAcentral.
GCCAGACAUGGUGGCACACCUGCAGUCCUAAUUACUCAGGAGGCUGAUGUGGGAGGAUCACUUGAGCACAGGAGUUCUGAGUUGUAAUGCCAAUCAGGUGUCCGCACUAAGUUUGGCAUCAAUAUGUUAGGGAGUGGGGGACCACCUGGGAAUGGGGCACCACCAGGUUGCCUGAGGAGGGGUGAAUUGGCCCAGGUUGGAGACGGAGCAGGUCAAAACUCCUGUGCUGAUCAGUAGUGGGAUCUUGCCUGUGAAUAGCCACUGCACUUCAGCCUGGGCAACAUAGCGAGACCCUGUCUCA